UUGCUUCAGAAACACAGAUACUAAAACUUUAACAAUACAGAGAAGAUGGGCAUGGCCCCUGCACAAGGAUGGCAUGCACAUUCAUGAAGUACUCAACAUUUUU
Arvicanthis niloticus (Nile rat) is the source of this 103-nucleotide small nuclear RNA. The record is from RefSeq and is a predicted model, not a curated record. Lineage: Eukaryota; Metazoa; Chordata; Mammalia; Rodentia; Muridae.